UUCAGCAGCCAUAUCACCCUGCAGCCCAAGACUGGUUGCCCACUGAAGCUAAGCAGGGUUGAGCCUGAUCAGUACCUGGAUGGGAGACCUGGGGUAAACUAGAUUGCAGCUGGAA
This 115-nucleotide ribosomal RNA is filed under the name Sinocyclocheilus grahami. Lineage: Eukaryota; Metazoa; Chordata; Actinopteri; Cypriniformes; Cyprinidae. The record is from RNAcentral.